UACGUAGGGGGCAAGCGUUGUCCGGAAUCAUUGGGCGUAAAGAGCGUGUAGGCGGCUCGGUAAGUCCGCUCUGAAAGCCCGGGGCUCAACCCCGGGAGGCGGGCGGAUACUGUCGGGCUAGAGUCCGGAAGAGGCGAGUGGAAUUCCUGGUGUAGCGGUGAAAUGCGCAGAUAUCAGGAGGAACACCAAUGGCGAAGGCAGCUCGCUGGGACGGUACUGACGCUGAGACGCGAAAGCGUGGGGAGCAAACAGG
Molecule: ribosomal RNA, 253 nt
Filed under: uncultured bacterium
Lineage: Bacteria
Description: partial 16S ribosomal RNA
Rfam family: Bacterial small subunit ribosomal RNA
Source: RNAcentral